This is a long non-coding RNA of Cololabis saira (Pacific saury), 288 nucleotides long. RefSeq lists it as uncharacterized. The transcript has 3 exons. Lineage: Eukaryota; Metazoa; Chordata; Actinopteri; Beloniformes; Belonidae. The record is from RefSeq and is a predicted model, not a curated record.
GGAGGUCACAGUCAGGAAGAAGUGAAAACACGCUGGAGAGGAAUCACCGGCCGGUGCUCUGGUCCAGGCAGCCAUGGCCCGGUUCCUGAAGUUCUCCUCCGGGACUCUGGUCGUCUCCUCCGGGUUCUACGUCCUGACCCGGUUGGACCAGCUGGACCUCAACGACCUCAGCCUGGUCCGGUUUGGACGGGCCGCCGCCGCCACCAGCAUCAUCAGCUACGACUACCUGACGUCUCUCAGGAACGUGGACUACGGGACGGACGAGUACUGGGACCUGAAGUCUAAGGU